This 253-nucleotide ribosomal RNA is filed under the name uncultured bacterium. RNAcentral's name for it is "partial 16S ribosomal RNA". It matches the Rfam family "Bacterial small subunit ribosomal RNA", at positions 524 to 776 of the family's 1533-position model. The record is from RNAcentral.
UACAGAGGCCUCGAGCGUUGUUCGGAAUUACUGGGCGUAAAGGGCAUGUAGGUGGUGGCGUAAGUCAGAUGUGAAAGCCCCGGGCUUAACCUGGGAAGUGCAUUUGAUACUGCGUUGCUUGAGUGCGAGAGAGGAAAGGGGAAUUCCCAGUGUAGGAGUGAAAUCCGUAGAUAUUGGGAGGAACACCGGUGGCGAAGGCGGCGACCUGGGCCAAUACUGACACUGAGGUGCGAAAGCGUGGGGAGCAAACAGG